Molecule: ribosomal RNA, 676 nt
Filed under: uncultured bacterium
Lineage: Bacteria
Description: bacterial SSU rRNA
Rfam family: Bacterial small subunit ribosomal RNA
Source: RNAcentral
AGUUUGAUCCUGGCUCAGAUUGAACGCUGGCGGCAGGCCUAACACAUGCAAGUCGAGCGGGGUUUUCGGACCCAGCGGCGGACGGGUGAGUAAUGCGUAGGAAGCUACCCGAUAGAGGGGGAUACCAGUUGGAAACGACUGUUAAUACCGCAUAAUGUCUACGGACCAAAGUGUGGGACCUUCGGGCCACAUGCUAUCGGAUGCGCCUACGUGGGAUUAGCUAGUUGGUGGGGUAAUGGCUCACCAAGGCGACGAUCCCUAGCUGGUUUGAGAGGAUGAUCAGCCACACUGGAACUGAGACACGGUCCAGACUCCUACGGGAGGCAGCAGUGGGGAAUAUUGGACAAUGGGCGCAAGCCUGAUCCAGCCAUGCCGCGUGUGUGAAGAAGGCCUUCGGGUUGUAAAGCACUUUCAGCGAGGAGGAAGGGAGUUGUGUUAAUAGCACAGCUUCUUGACGUUACUCGCAGAAGAAGCACCGGCUAACUCUGUGCCAGCAGCCGCGGUAAUACAGAGGGUGCAAGCGUUAAUCGGAAUUACUGGGCGUAAAGCGCACGUAGGCGGUUUUUUAAGUCAGAUGUGAAAGCCCCGGGCUCAACCUGGGAAUUGCAUUUGAAACUGGAAAACUAGAGUGUGUGAGAGGGGGGUAGAAUUCCAAGUGUAGCGGUGAAAUGCGUAG